UUGCCGGCGACCGGCGGACGGGUGCGUAACGCGUAUGUAACCUACCUUUGACAGGGGGAUAACAUCGAGAAAUUGGUACUAAUACCCCAUAACAUCACCGGAGGCAUCUUCGGUGGUUGAAAACUCAGGUGGUCAGAGAUGGACAUGCGUUGUAUUAGCUAGUUGGUGAGGUAACGGCUCACCAAGGCGACGAUACAUAGGGGGACUGAGAGGUCAACCCCCCACAUUGGUACUGAGACACGGACCAAACUCCUACGGAAGGCAGCAG
Molecule: ribosomal RNA, 268 nt
Filed under: uncultured bacterium
Lineage: Bacteria
Description: partial 16S ribosomal RNA
Rfam family: Bacterial small subunit ribosomal RNA
Source: RNAcentral